UACAGGGGGUGCAAGCGUUGUUCGGAAUUAUUGGGCGUAAAGCGCGUGUAGGCGGACCGUUAAGUCUGGUGUGAAAUCCCUCGGCUCAACUGAGGAAGUGCAUUGGAUACUGGCGGCCUUGAGUCCUGGAGAGGGUAGCGGAAUUCCCAGUGUAGAGGUGAAAUUCGUAGAUAUUGGGAGGAACACCGGUGGCGAAGGCGGCUACCUGGACAGUGACUGACGCUGAGACGCGAAAGCAUGGGUAGCAAACAGG
Molecule: ribosomal RNA, 253 nt
Filed under: uncultured bacterium
Lineage: Bacteria
Description: partial 16S ribosomal RNA
Rfam family: Bacterial small subunit ribosomal RNA
Source: RNAcentral